This 349-nucleotide ribosomal RNA is filed under the name uncultured bacterium. RNAcentral's name for it is "bacterial SSU rRNA". It matches the Rfam family "Bacterial small subunit ribosomal RNA", at positions 917 to 1267 of the family's 1533-position model. The record is from RNAcentral.
GGGCCCGCACAAGCGGUGGAGUAUGUGGUUUAAUUCGAUGCAACGCGAAGAACCUUACCAGGGUUUGACAUCCUGCGAAUCUCUUGGAAACAGGAGAGUGCCUUCGGGAACGCAGUGACAGGUGGUGCAUGGCUGUCGUCAGCUCGUGUCGUGAGAUGUUGGGUUAAGUCCCGCAACGAGCGCAACCCACGUCUUUAGUUGCCAGCAUUUAGUUGGGCACUCUAGAGAGACUGCCGGUGAUAAACCGGAGGAAGGUGUGGAUGACGUCAAGUCAUCAUGCCCCUUACAUCCUGGGCUACACACGUACUACAAUGGCGAUGACAGUGGGCAGCGACCCCGCAAGGGUGAG